RNAcentral lists this long non-coding RNA (236 nucleotides) under Olea europaea (common olive). RNAcentral describes it as "long non-coding RNA (OEUR_LNC007078)". Lineage: Eukaryota; Viridiplantae; Streptophyta; Magnoliopsida; Lamiales; Oleaceae. The record is from RNAcentral.
AACCGCCCAGCGGUUACCUAGUGCCUAAUAUCUAUAAAUACCCCCGGAUGAGACACAGGUAAGGGAUGAUUUUUUUUAGCUCCCAUUCUCGUUUUUAGCCAUCUGAUUUUCAAAUAUAUUCUUUCCAAGUCUGAAAACUAAUUCUCACGCCGGAGGUAAAACGGGAGAGAAAGCCCCGCCUUCAUUUUUCAGGUCUUGCAUACUUGACGGAGUGGUGGAAAAGCCAAACAUUACCG